GAUGAACGCUAGCGGCAGGCUUAAUACAUGCAAGUCGAGGGGCAGCGCAGGUAGCAAUACCUGGCGGCGACCGGCAAACGGGUGCGGAACACGUACGCAACCUUCCCAUAACUGGUGAAUAGCCCUCCGAAAGGAGGAUUAAUACACCGUAACAUAACGAAGAGGCAUCUUUUUGUUAUUAUAGUAGCAAUACGGUUUUGGAUGGGCGUGCGCCUGAUUAGGUAGUUGGCGGGGUAACGGCCCACCAAGCCUGCGAUCAGUAACUGGUGUGAGAGCACGACCAGUCACACGGGCACUGAGACACGGGCCCGACUCCUACGGGAGGCAGCAGUAAGGAAUAUUGGUCAAUGGACGAAAGUCUGAACCAGCCAUGCCGCGUGAAGGAUUAAGGCCCUCUGGGUUGUAAACUUCUUUUAUCUGGGACGAAAAAAGGGCAUUCUUGCUCACUUGACGGUACCAGAGGAAUAAGCACCGGCUAACUCCGUGCCAGCAGCCGCAGUAA
RNAcentral lists this ribosomal RNA (502 nucleotides) under uncultured bacterium. RNAcentral describes it as "partial 16S ribosomal RNA". It matches the Rfam family "Bacterial small subunit ribosomal RNA", at positions 28 to 523 of the family's 1533-position model. The record is from RNAcentral.